RNAcentral lists this long non-coding RNA (1405 nucleotides) under Helianthus annuus (common sunflower). RNAcentral describes it as "hypothetical non coding rna". Lineage: Eukaryota; Viridiplantae; Streptophyta; Magnoliopsida; Asterales; Asteraceae. The record is from RNAcentral.
GCUCAUUUCUUCUAUUCUUCUCUCUAUACGUUGGUGUUCUAACCAAUAAUCACCGAUGCGAUAUUAUGUCCGAUCGAUUCGGGAACCAACUAACGAAUGCCAAAGUGUUGUCUAAAUAAGACUAUACUUUGUGAAUUUCGUUAAGGUUCUGAUCUCGUGACCAUCGUUAGGUUUGAUUGGGUUUAACACUAAUACGUAUUCCAUUCUGUUAAACUAAAUGUUUAACUACCAGAAAGCUCUGCACUAUACACUUACAAUCAAAAUAGAUGUAUAAUCAUCAGAAGACUUAGAAUCAAGAUGCUUGUUUAAUCAAGACUAUAUGCUAACAAGUAUGUGGGGGUUUUGUGCACAUUACUACUAAUGAUUUAUCACGUUAGGUGGGCGAGCCUAAUUUAGUGAUAUGUCCACGGUCAUAGAUGCGGUCGAGUGACAACUGAACCAGCUAAUUAAUAGAGAGAGGCAAAUAUAAAAACUCUUAAUGCUGUGAAUUAUAACAAAUGUGUUUUUGUACAAAAUGAAUGAACUCACCAGUAUUUCCUGCUGACCAAAAUGUUUUAAAACGCGUUUCAGGUAAUUACAGUAGAUUGGAACAAGAGUGGCGAGACGGCACCGAAAGGCUUAAAGAAGUGGCUUAUUUUAUCAAAUAAAUUAAUUAAAUUAAACAUUGUUUUACAUAUUCGGGUCUAUCCCGUAUUAAAGCUACCUUUCAAAACAUGAUUUUAUCCCAUCUAUUUAAUAAAUAAAAUCCGGUGUUUUCUAACUCUGAUAUUUUUCCUAACUCACGGUCCUGAUGAAAUCUCCGCUGCAAUAUUUUCAAAAUAACUGCCGGUACCACUUGACUGCUUCACGGCUCCCGUCCAGGGUGUGGUCGGGGGUCGUGACAAGUGUUGAUCCUAAAAACCUAGAUUAACUAAAUACUAACAAAAAUUAUUGUUUUCAUCGAGUUUGAAAGUUUUAAUUGAUUAUGAUUGAGAAAGUUAUCAAAUUUAAAGAAAAGCAAUCCCCUCUGGAUUUUCGGUUCAAUAUUUCACCCAAACUUGUUUCAUUAGAUAGAUACCAAAAGGCCUUGUUAAUGGUUUAAUUCGAGUGAUAACCAAAGAUGAGUUUUUAAGGACAACCUAUGCAGUUCAAUUACCGAAUCGUAAGUUCCAAUAAUCCUCCUAAUAACCAAACUACUCAUGAUGCAAGAAAACCGAAUGCGAAUGGUAAAAGAUGAAUAAUUGCAAAACACACAAUUAUUUUAAACAAAAUAAACCACGCGCUAGCGCCCAACCGGGCUUUGAAGGGACAGGGAAAGAGAAGAAAAGAAAGAGGGUCACUCCUUUUAGGAGCAUGGCUCGUUCAUUCACUUGCUCAUGAACUCACAGCUUCGCCAGAAGCUACAAAGGGGGGCCUCGCCCCGGGA